Molecule: long non-coding RNA, 415 nt
Organism: Harmonia axyridis
Lineage: Eukaryota; Metazoa; Arthropoda; Insecta; Coleoptera; Coccinellidae
Exons: 3
Source: RefSeq, a predicted model, not a curated record
UUGAGGAAGCUUGUUGUACAGUUUAAUGCACCAGUAAUUCACUGCAAUUUGAGUGGAUUUAGCUCUAUGAAAAUUGCUCCUGAACUCAUCUCUGUGUCUGGUGUUGUACGAAUGGCAAUCGCUGACUUGAGUGAACCCAUUUUUGUUUGAGUGAACAAAUUUCAAGCACUCCAGAAUGAAAACGGAGACCAUGGAGAAUCCGAUCAAGACCUGGACUAUGCCCCCAUAUCAGUAUCCCAUAUGUCGCCACAGAGUGAAAGUUGGAAAAAUAAGUCAGCUUACAGACAUUAUCGGUAGAGAUGGCCUUCAUACGCCUCAUAGUAAAAAGGGCUGUCGACAGUUUCCUGACCAUUAAAGGUAAACCAGUCCUCCGCAACUCGCAGGGUCUCAUUACACACACGCUCCAGUUCCUCCC